AAUAAAACAGUGUUUGGAAACUAUUAUGCCAAGAUGUAAUAACUAGAAAACAAGAAAGUCCAUUUAUAAGCUGAAGUGCAACUUCAAGUCGUAAAUAGAAGAAAUAUUGAGAAUGCAAGGGGGAAAAUUAUAACAUGAGCACUUAUGAAACGGGAAACAGACUGAAAACCUUCAGAUUUAGAAUAGCGACAGGACGAUAUAUUUUGGACCCAUCCUUCUGAAGCUCUGUACUAAGCCUUUGCAUUAUCUACUUAUCAGUCAGGGACCUCUCAAGAAAGAUAAACCACUUGAGUAUUAAAACAGAGGGGUCUGGUGCAGGAAACUGAUCACCCAGGAAAAGGAAGAGCUGAAAUGCUUAGCAGCAAACAGGGAGAGAACCUAGAGGUAAACACUCCCAGAAAACCACAACCUCCUCUGGGCCAGAGUGAGGAGGCAGAGACUAAGGUCCUUAGAUGGGGGCUAGAAGAGACUCAACUAUUGCAUCAGAUGUUGCCAGAAACAGAGAGGGAGUGGGAGAAAAACCCUGGCUUCUCUCUCCAGCCUCCUCCCCCAUCUGCCUCUCAUGUCUACCUGGGCCAUUCCCAUCCUGGAAAAUAGUCUGCAGUGUUCUUUCCUUGUGCAAGGGGAUGGGUGAGGAAUGGAUCCAAAGGCAAACAGGCCCGGGACCAGCACAAAUAUUGUCUGCGUGAGCAGAGGCAUGACUCUACAUUCUGGUGAGGACAUCCCCCUGGGAGAGCUUGCAUCAUACCAGGAUGACCACAGGACGCCCUCCUGAUGCACAGUGCCUUUGCUCAAAGACCAACCUUAGUUUGUGAAAGAGAAUUAAGCUUUUCCAACCUUGAAAGCCUUCAGAUUACUGGAUCCCCAGAUGCUAUGGAUGGCCAGCUCCAUAAAAAGAUGUCUUUAUGCUAUAGUCCUGGUAGAAAUGUGGUCAGCAUUCCAAAGUAUGAUAUAAAAGAUUUUAAGCAGCUCUUUUGUUGCAACAUACAAAGGUCACCAACUCCCCUGCUUGGAGUAGAGAAAAUCAUUCUCAUUACCUUGCAGCCUACCUUACUAGUUCAGAUAAGUACACAUUUUAGGAUCUAUUAUUUGUAACAUCCUAUUUUCUAAUAGCAAAUUCCCUAUGAUUAUGCUACUUUUGAUUGCAAGUAAUAUAAAAGAUCUGACUUAAUCAAUAAAAUGUAUUAGCCCGUGUAAAAACUCCAGAGGAGAGCAGGUUUCAAGGCUCAGAGAUCCACUGUUUGUUUACAUAGAUUAUGUCCUGCACAGAAGUGCCUGGGCAAGAGGUCAAGUGGGAGCUGAAUCUAAGCUUGGGGCUGCAUCCAACCCAGAAAACAGGGUACCAUUUUAAUUACAUCAAGGAGCCUCUAAUUAAUCACAAAGCCAUUCUCCCGCAAGAUCAUUUGCUCAGUUAAUGCAUCCAAAAGUGACUUAUGUUAACAGUGGGAGCCUUUAGCUCAGCAAUGUCAGCCAAGAAUCAGUUUAUUUUCACCUAUCUGUUCUGCUUUUCCUUAUGUCAGCUACAUCCACAGAGAACUGCCUCCAUAAAUUGGCUCCACUCAUGUUCGCCAGAGGGAUGGCAGCAUCAACCAAGUCUUCCUUUUUCCUGUCCAGUAGGAGACUGGGCUCCCCAGUCAAUGAAUGGGCUAACCGGCUAACCUCACAUUAUAACAACCUGAGUCACAUGCCCAACGCUAAACCAAUCAGUGGCACAGGUCUAGAAAUAUGCUGAUUAACUAAAGUCGAAUUUACAUCUGCCAUCUUGCUACUUGUUUUCUUUCAUUGUCUUUCUUUGUUUCUCUGUUCUUCAGUGCUCCCUUCUUUUGUGUAAAAUAAAUAUUUUCUAGCCAUUUUAAUUUCCUUGUUGCUUCUUUUAGUAUAUUUUUCUACUUAUUUUCCUCUUGAUUGCCUUAGGGUUUGCAAUUAACAUUUAAUUUAAAAUGAUCUCGCUCAGAUUAAUACCAAUUUAAUUUCGAUAAUAUCUUAAAAGCUUGUUCUAAUAUAGUUCUGUGACCUUCCUCUUUGUGCCAUUAUUAUUAUAUGAAUUACAUUUUUAUACAUGAUAAACCCAUCAACACAGUUCUACUAUUGCAUUAUGUGUUUUUCUUUCUUUUUUUUUCUUUAGUUUUGAGCUAAGCAUAGAUUCCCAUGCAGUUGUAAGAAACAAUAAUAGAGGUCUCAUGUACUGGUUACCCAGCUUUUCCCAGCUUUUCUCAUGUACCUGUUACCCAGCUUUUCCUAGCUGUUCCCAGCUUUUCUCAUGUACCUGUUACCCAGCUUUCUCCCGCUACCCACCUUCAUAACUGUGGUAUAAUAUCACAAUCAGGAUACUGACAUUGACAGUGUCAAGAUACAGAAUACUCCAUCUCCAUGAAGAUCCUUCUUAUUGUCCAUGUAUAGUCACAUGCACUUCCCUCCAAUUUCUAUCUUCCCCUUAACUUCUGGCAACCAUUA
RNAcentral lists this long non-coding RNA (2454 nucleotides) under Homo sapiens (human). Its description in RNAcentral is "HSALNT0160342". Lineage: Eukaryota; Metazoa; Chordata; Mammalia; Primates; Hominidae. The record is from RNAcentral.